This 330-nucleotide long non-coding RNA is filed under the name Ananas comosus (pineapple). RNAcentral describes it as "long non-coding RNA (ACOM_LNC020054)". The record is from RNAcentral. Lineage: Eukaryota; Viridiplantae; Streptophyta; Magnoliopsida; Poales; Bromeliaceae.
CACCUCGACGUUCGAAAUCACGCAAAACGGUACAUAAAAUAUUGGGCUUUUCACAGAUUUUUCGUUUUACCAAUUUUGACCCCUCAACAAACUUUACGCGAUUCCCGAAGAUCCGUCUGUCGGAUUUUCGAUCGGAUCGCGCUAGCGCGUUCAGCACGACUGGAGCAACGAACUCACUAUUUGUUUUCACCCAAUAUGAUUGCCGAUUUGCGACGAAACCCAUCACUCUCCAAUUUCUCCCAAAACCACACAUCUAUAUAUGUGUAAAUCCAUUAAACCCCCCUUUUCUCAAAAACAGUGCAUCAAAACCCAAUUCUGUCAGUUCCAUUG